This 253-nucleotide ribosomal RNA is filed under the name uncultured bacterium. Its description in RNAcentral is "partial 16S ribosomal RNA". It matches the Rfam family "Bacterial small subunit ribosomal RNA", at positions 524 to 776 of the family's 1533-position model. The record is from RNAcentral.
UACGUAGGGGGCUAGCGUUGUCCGGAUUUACUGGGCGUAAAGGGCGCGUAGGCGGCGCAACAAGUCACUUGUGAAAUCUCCGGGCUUAACUCGGAGCGGCCAAGUGAUACUGUCGUGCUAGAGUGCGGAAGGGGCUACUGGAAUUCUCGGUGUAGCGGUGAAAUGCGUAGAUAUCGAGAGGAACACCUGCGGCGAAGGCGGGUAGCUGGGCCGACACUGACGCUGAGGCGCGAAAGCCAGGGGAGCGAACGGG